AUACUAAUUGCUCGUGCGGCUUGACCCUAUAACUUUGAUAGCCAACACGCAACCAGCGUGAAGCUCAAAGUCUGUUAUGCCAAGUUAGACGCAGUCAAAACACAAACAUCUGAUUCCAGACUCUAUGAAUUCGCCAGGCAGUUCACAAAAACUGCCCAGCACCAAGUUAUGCCUGAUGACCAUAGCAAGUUGGUCCCACUCCUUCCCAUCCCGAACAGGACAGUGAAACGACUUUGCGCCGAUGAUAGUGCGGGUUCCCGUGUGAAAGUAGGUCAUCGUCAGGC
This 284-nucleotide ribosomal RNA is filed under the name Acidovorax delafieldii. The record is from RNAcentral. Lineage: Bacteria; Pseudomonadati; Pseudomonadota; Betaproteobacteria; Burkholderiales; Comamonadaceae.